RNAcentral lists this ribosomal RNA (467 nucleotides) under uncultured bacterium. RNAcentral describes it as "partial 16S ribosomal RNA". It matches the Rfam family "Bacterial small subunit ribosomal RNA", at positions 28 to 507 of the family's 1533-position model. The record is from RNAcentral.
GACGAACGCUGGCGGCGUGCUUAACACAUGCGAGUCGAACGGAAAGGCCUCUUUCGGGGGGUACUCGAGUGGCGAACGGGUGAGUAACACGUGAGUAACCUGCCCUUGACUUUGGGAUAACUUCAGGAAACUGGGGCUAAUACCGGAUAGGAGCUCCUGCUGCAUGGUGGGGGUUGGAAAGUUUCGGCGGUUGGGGAUGGACUCGCGGCUUAUCAGCUUGUUGGUGGGGUAGUGGCUUACCAAGGCUUUGACGGGUAGCCGGCCUGAGAGGGUGACCGGCCACAUUGGGACUGAGAUACGGCCCAGACGCCUACGGGAGGCAGCAGUGGGGAAUAUUGCACAAUGGGUGGAAGCCUGAUGCAGCAACGCCGGGGGCGGGAUGACGGCCUUCGGGUUGUAAACCGCUUUCGCUCAUGACGAAGCUUUGUGUGACGGUAGUGGGUAAAGAAGCACCGGCUAACUACGUG